CAGUAGCCACGGGAAUACGGAGGGAGCUAGCGUUGUUCGGAAUUACUGGGCGUAAAGCACGCGUAGGCGGUUACUCAAGUCAGAGGUGAAAGCCCGGGGCUCAACCCCGGAACUGCCUUUGAAACUAGGUGACUAGAAUCUUGGAGAGGUCAGUGGAAUUCCGAGUGUAGAGGUGAAAUUCGUAGAUAUUCGGAAGAACACCAGUGGCGAAGGCGACUGACUGGUCAAGUAUUGACGCUGAGGUGCGAAAGCGUGGGGAGCAAACAGGAUUAGAUACCCCCGUAGUCCCUGUCUCUUAUAC
RNAcentral lists this ribosomal RNA (301 nucleotides) under uncultured bacterium. RNAcentral's name for it is "partial 16S ribosomal RNA". It matches the Rfam family "Bacterial small subunit ribosomal RNA", at positions 509 to 807 of the family's 1533-position model. The record is from RNAcentral.